AUGGCCGAGGACGCCCCCAACGCCGGCGCUGAGGACAUCCACCCCGCGCCUACCGAAGCCUCCGCCGACGCCGCUACACCUCCGGCGUCGGCAGAGAAGUCCUCGUCGGAGACGCUGCUCCCGUCGCUCAGCAUCUGGCCGCCGUCGCAGCGCACGCGCGACGCCGUAGUGCGGCGCGUCGUGCAGACCCUGUCCGCGCCCAGCGUCCUCUCCCAGCGCUACGGCGCCAUCCCUGAGCCCGAGGCCGAGGGCGCCGCAGCCGCCGUCGAGGCCGAGGCCUUCGCCGCCGCCUCGGAGUCCGCCGCCGCCUCCCCCACCUCCCUGGAGGACGGGAUCGAGGUCCUCCAGGCCUACUCCAAGGAGGUCAGCCGCCGCCUCCUCGAGCUCGCCAAGUCGCGCGCCGCUGCCGCCGCCGCAACAGAGACCCCCGCGGAACCGAGCGCUGAAGAGUCGGAGGGUUCGUCGGUGACUGCUCCGCCCCCAACGGAGGAGUAA
RNAcentral lists this ribosomal RNA (495 nucleotides) under Triticum aestivum (bread wheat). Its description in RNAcentral is "partial small subunit ribosomal RNA". The record is from RNAcentral. Lineage: Eukaryota; Viridiplantae; Streptophyta; Magnoliopsida; Poales; Poaceae.